RNAcentral lists this ribosomal RNA (252 nucleotides) under uncultured bacterium. RNAcentral's name for it is "partial 16S ribosomal RNA". It matches the Rfam family "Bacterial small subunit ribosomal RNA", at positions 524 to 776 of the family's 1533-position model. The record is from RNAcentral.
UACGAAGGGGGCUAGCGUUGUUCGGAUUUACUGGGCGUAAAGCGCACGUAGGCGGAUCGUUAAGUCGGGGGUGAAAUCCUGGAGCUCAACUCCAGAACUGCCUUCGAUACUGGCGAUCUUGAGUCCGGAAGAGGUGAGUGGAACUCCUAGUGUAGAGGUGGAAUUCGUAGAUAUUAGGAAGAACACCAGUGGCGAAGGCGGCUCACUGGUCCGGUACUGACGCUGAGGUGCGAAAGCGUGGGAGCAAACAGG